AUAAAAAACGUCUUUGAUGAAAGAGUUUAUGAUGCUUUAGACUUACGAAAGAAGGAUCAAUUUCUUUGGUAUCUAUAACGUGGAAAAAUAUAAUAUCAUAAAAUAGAAAUAAUCUGCUUGUCCUCUUUCUGUUAAUCAAAAUAUUAAAAAUUAUUAUUUUAUUAUCAAAUGUAUGUUACGUUAAUCGAAAAAAGUAACUCGACUGGAUAAUAUAGUCUCUUGAUAUCUUAUUUCUAUAAUUAUAAAAUCAUAAGGUGGAAGUAAUUGUAAAUCCAAUAGGUUAUGAAAAUGUCUUAAGUUCAAUCUCAGUGCACUGCAUCGCGCAAGCUCUUGAGUACGUACGUAUAAGAAUACGUAAGUUACAUAUAUAUUUCUAAAUGUAUAUAAACUAGAUAUUAAAUUGUCCCAGAAGUUUCUUUCGUUUUAUAAGGAAAUAAUAGAUGCACAACAUUUUUUGUUCUAUUGCAACAAAAUGAAUUAUACAGAAUUCGAUAAAAUAAUAUAAAAUAAAAAAUGUUGUGUGUGUAUUUCCUUAUAAAACGGAAAAAACUUUUGGGACAACCUAAUAUUUAUUAUACGUUUAAGGUAAAUGUACGACACUUUGAAUAUACGUGAAAUUUAAAAAGAUUGUAUAUAUUUUUUUAAGGAAUAUCUAAUUUUUAGGACAGGUACAUCUUUAAAAGUAAUAAAGUUUAAAAAAACGACAAUAAAAUUGAAAAAUUUCUAGAAUUUUACAAAGUCGCAGCAAGAUUUUCAACCAAAUCAAUCAUUUUGAAUCAUUCACACCAAAGUACCAGUGACGUAAUAAUCAGAUUGGAACAAUGGAUUUCAAGAAUGACGGAGUUUAAAUCGGAUUUCUUCAUGGCAUUUGAUGCGUCUAAUACGCAACCAACGUCUAAAACAUAUUUAAUCAUCGCGACUCCGGAUCAUGUCGGAUUCUAUUACCGACCUAUUAUUAUCGACUCGACGUCAAGACAAGAGUUCAACUUUGCUUAGCCAAUUACAAACCGUUCUCAGGAUCCUUGCUGUUCGCGCUAAUACAUACAAGCAUAUGUUAAUGUACAUAUAAAGCGCGGUCUUAAUCACUCUCAAUACUUGAUCGUCAAGCGAAACAACAGAAAUAGCGCAUACAGAAUGAUUUUAAGACGAUUGCAGAAGUCAAUAGCCUAACGAGAGUGUGUAAUUCCUAGCUUGUAUUAAAAAUUAUACGAAGAAGAACACAGUCAGGUGCAUUAUUUCUGAUAGCUUCUACUCUUGAGCUAACUACAACAUUUAUCAAUUUCUCUCGUUUAACAUGGAGACGUGUAGUGCGACUGUAUAUAUUACUUUUGACGUAACAGAUAAAACGGAAUGGAAACUUACGUGAAGCAGGAGUUCAGUUGAGCACGAAGUUCCUCAAUCGUAAGGAUCGUGUCUUGAUACUGAGGAUGAGAUCCUUGGAGGCCAUCGUCGACGCUCCCGCAUGAACUAUGGCAGGAUAAGGAGAUAUUGCUUCUAAAGAAACAAAAUAAAUGCAGAUCUUUAA
Bombus huntii is the source of this 1525-nucleotide long non-coding RNA. RefSeq lists it as uncharacterized. Lineage: Eukaryota; Metazoa; Arthropoda; Insecta; Hymenoptera; Apidae. The transcript is spliced from 2 exons. The record is from RefSeq and is a predicted model, not a curated record.